This 223-nucleotide long non-coding RNA is filed under the name Helianthus annuus (common sunflower). RNAcentral's name for it is "Bacterial small subunit ribosomal RNA". It matches the Rfam family "Bacterial small subunit ribosomal RNA", at positions 860 to 1533 of the family's 1533-position model. Lineage: Eukaryota; Viridiplantae; Streptophyta; Magnoliopsida; Asterales; Asteraceae. The record is from RNAcentral.
UUAACGAACGUCUGAUCAUUACUAAAUUUAGAAAACCGUUAUUAAAUCUAUAGUGGUUUUCUAUGUGAUAAUAACGCCCGUCACACUAUGGGAGCUGGCCAUGCCCGAAGUCGUUACCUUAACCGCAAGGCGAAGGAGGGGGAUGCCGAAGGCAGGGCUAGUGACUGGAGUGAAGUCAUAACAAGGUAGCCGUACUGGAAGGUGCGGCUGGAUCACCUCCUUU